CCUACGGGAGGCAGCAGUGAGGAAUAUUGGUCAAUGGGCGGAAGCCUGAACCAGCCAAGUCGCGUGAGGGAUUAAGGCCCUGCGGGUCGUAAACCUCUUUUGCCGGGGAGCAGAGGUCCGGACGUGUCCGGGCCGGGAGAGUACCCGGAGAAAAAGCAUCGGCUAACUCCGUGCCAGCAGCCGCGGUAAUACGGAGGAUGCGAGCGUUAUCCGGAUUUAUUGGGUUUAAAGGGUGCGUAGGCGGGCAUUUAAGCCGGCGGUCAAAUGUCGGGGCUCAACCCCGGCCUGCCGUCGGAAUUGGGUGCCUUGAGUGGGCGAGAGGUAUGCGGAAUGCGUGGUGUAGCGGUGAAAUGCAGAGAUAUCACGCGGAAACCCGAUUGCGAAGGCAGCAUACCGGCGCCCUACUGACGCUGAGGCACGAAAGUGCGGGUAUCGAACAGGAUUAGAUACCCUGGUAGUC
Molecule: ribosomal RNA, 460 nt
Filed under: uncultured bacterium
Lineage: Bacteria
Description: partial 16S ribosomal RNA
Rfam family: Bacterial small subunit ribosomal RNA
Source: RNAcentral